CACUUCUAAGGAAGGCAGCAGGCGCGCAAAUUACCCAAUCCUGACUCAGGGAGGUAGUGACAAGAAAUAACAAUAAACCGGCUUAUGCCGGUUUAAUUGGAAUGAGUACAAUUUAAACAUCUUAACGAGGAACAAUUGGAGGGCAAGUCUGGUGCCAGCAGCCGCGGUAAUUCCAGCUCCAAUAGCGUAUACUAAAGUUGUUGCAGUUAAAGAGCUCGUAGUUGGAUUUCUGUGGGGACGGAGCGGCCGGCCGCACAUCGCGGUUCGAGCUAGCGCUUUCCCUACAUCCUGCCGCGAACCGUGCUACCAUUAGUUUGGUGGCGCCGGGGAUCGGCUCGAUUACUUUGAGAAAAAUAGAGUGUUCAAAGCAGGCCACACGCCUUGAAUAAGUUAGCAUGGAAUAAUAACUAAGGACUUCGGUUCUAUUUUGUUGGUGUUCGGGACUGAAGUAAUGAUUGAUAGGGACAGUUGGGGCGGUCUGUAUUCCAAAGCGAGAGGUGAAAUUCUUAGACCUUCGGAAGACAAACAGCUGCGAAAGCGUUCCGCAAGGAUGUUCCCUUUGAUCAAGAACGAAAGUUGGGGGAUCGAAGACGAUCAGAUACCGUCGUAGUCUCAACUAUAAACUAUACCAGCUAGGGAUCGGCCAACGUUAUUCUAUACCGACUUGGUCGGCACCUUAUGAGAAAUCAAAGCAUCUGGGUUCCGGGGGGAGUAUGGUCGCAAGGCUGAAACUUAAAGGAAUUGACGGAAGGGCACCACCAGCCGUGGAGCCUGUGGCUUAAUUUGACUCAACACGGGAAAACUUACCAGGUCCAGACAUAGUAAGGAUUGACAGAUUGAUAGCUCUUUCUUGAUUCUGUGGGUGGUGGUGCAUGGCCGUUCUUAGUUGGUGGAGUGAUUUGUCUGGUUAAUUCCGUUAACGAACGAGACCCCAGCCUGCUAAAUAGCGCGUGUGAGCUUUGCUCGCAGCGAGCUUCUUAGAGGGACUACGAUGCGCGAUAGCACAUGGAAGUUUGGGGCAAUAACAGGUCUGUGAUGCCCUUAGAUGUUCUGGGCCGCACACGGGCUACACUGGCGCCUGCAACGAGCAUAUCAGCUGGCCCGAGAGGGUCUUGGCUAAUCUUUUGAACCGGCGCCGUGCUUGGGAUUGACCUUUGCAAUUGUUGGUCAUGCAACGAGGAAUGCCUUGUAAACGCGAGUCAUCCGCUCGCAUUGAAUACGUCCCUGCCC
This 1230-nucleotide ribosomal RNA is filed under the name uncultured marine eukaryote. Its description in RNAcentral is "SSU rRNA". It matches the Rfam family "Eukaryotic small subunit ribosomal RNA", at positions 411 to 1658 of the family's 1831-position model. The record is from RNAcentral.